This is a long non-coding RNA of Zeugodacus cucurbitae (melon fly), 2262 nucleotides long. RefSeq lists it as uncharacterized. NCBI's taxonomy places the organism in Eukaryota, Metazoa, Arthropoda, Insecta, Diptera, Tephritidae. The transcript is spliced from 2 exons. The record is from RefSeq and is a predicted model, not a curated record.
UGCGUUAGAUCUUUCGAAAUUCGUCAACAGCCGUUAGCAAUAAUGUAGAUUUCUCCUCAUCUUAUUUUUGCCAAAUUUUACGUUUAGGUGAGUUAAAAGAUUUAUUAUGAGAAACUUGAAAUCGCACGCAUGUAUUGUCUUUUGAUUUUUCCUCUUAUUAUAAAACUUAGAGGCGUUGAAAAAGAGUUGAAUAAGAGUUAAGGAGGCAGUGAGUUUAAAAUAAAGUUUAUAUAUAAGUCAUGAGAAAUUUGCCUUUUUCAAUAUUUUUUAAAUUGAAAAUUGUUUGAAAUCCAAACAGCCUUUGAUAUAUGUUUCUUAUAAAUUUAUGAAAAUGUAUAAAAUUUGUAAAAGCUUCUGCAGCAGUCACAAACAGUCAAUAUGAAGCUAAAUAACAUAUAUGUAACAAAAAUGAGUGGAAGAAAAGCAUGUUGGGUAUGGAAUUUUUUCAAAAAGUCAAUGGCUGUUUGCACCGUUGUAUGCUCGAUAUGUAGUGCUAUACUCAGAUUCAAUUGCUCGACAUCAUCAAUGAACAACCAUUUAAAGUAUGUGCACAGAAAAGAACUGGAGCUUAGACUACAGAUUUGAACAUGGAGAUAGCAUCGAGUUUAACACAACAAAAACGGAAAGCAAUUUACAAUGAUGAGAAGUACAUUCAGAAAUUAAUCAAGCUGUGUGCGCAUCCAUCAGCGUAGAUGAGUGGUCACCUCGAACACAGGAUGUCUAUAUUUCUGUGGAAGCACAAUAUGUUAAUAAUGACGAGUUAUGCAGCGUCACUCUUUGCAAUAAGCAAUUGCAUACAUAUUAUGGAUAUAAACUAUAUUUUAUUCUUAUUUCAAGGGUGUACAACAUUUUUCGAUCAAAGGAUAGAUGUCAAAGUUGUAUAUUAAAAAAAUUUGUAAUUUUUGUAGUUUAAAAACUUUUUUUUUACACAAUUUUUAAGUUUUUUUUCCUGGAAGAUUUAUUCUGCAAUUAUAUAAGCAUAGCAGUAGAAAGGUAAUUUUUUUCGAACAUUCAUCUGUGACCACUUUCAUAUAUGUAAACUUGAUCGAUAAUUGUUCAACACCAUUUAAAUAAUAGGAAAAGGUAGUUUUUAUCCAUAUUUUUGAUUUUUUAGUAACUGGAUCUUGUAAUUAAUAAUAAUGUAUUUUAUUAAGCCUCUUUUUGAACUUAUAAGGCAAAUAUUUUGAUUUUGGAGGCUAACUUCGAAACUCGCAGAAUACGCUUUUUAUACUUAUGGCUGCAUCUCCCGGAAAAAUUAAGUUUGAUCCUAUACCCAGCCGAGUGUUUGUACUAGAGCUCUUGGUAUUCGACUAAUCGACUAACCGAAUUAACCGAAUAGGGCAUUAUCCGAAUAAUAAUCGCCCCUAUUCCCGUUGUCGUUAUCGUUUUAAAACGACUUAAGAACGCCUAUUUGGCAUUCUUGUUUAUCGAUAAUAAAUUGAGAUUCCCCAAUUUGAAACGACUAUAGAAACGACAUAGAAACAGUCGUUUUUCGUCGUUGCUAUAAUUGUGAGCGACAUAGAAACGAUGCGUUGUUUGAAGGGAUAUUUGAAGUGAAAAUUAAAAUUCCAAAUCGGAAACAGUUUGAAAUUUUAAUUUCUGAAAUGGAAAAAUAUCCUGCAUAUGCCAAGGACUUUAGAAAAGGGAUAAAUCCUUUAAAUUUCGAUUUUUUGGGAGGGAUAUUUUUUCCCAAAAAAAAAAAAACUAAAUCCAAAAACUAAAACUCCAACUAAACGAGGAGUUAAUAAACAGAUACCCAUGUCGCUUUUGGCUGGACCACUAGGUAGAGUAGUCGGAUUAGCCAGAAGCAAUGAGCAUGAGACGCUGGAAGUAUAACAUAUUUUAAAAACAAGUUUGGAGGACGCAGAUGUCACCACUACUUCUUUUAAAAAAUCAAAUAAAGAUGGAAGACUAACAUUGUUGUACGUAAGUACAAUAAUUACAGUGAUAACGUUGUUUAGAGUCAAUAGAGAAUAGCAUAAAAUCCAUUAAGGACUGCUUUAAAAUGUGUCUCGUUACAUAAGGAGAAAUUUUUAUAUGGGAAAAGAGCGCCUUAAAGUAUACUAUAUAAAAUAUGUAGACAAAUUUCGAUAACUUUUCUUAGGCGUUACGAUAUACUUCAAGAAUACCAAUUUUGGAACGAAACGACGAUAAGAACGACGACGACUUAAGCGCCAAAUACACGACACGAACAUUUCCGCGAACAUUCCCGUUAUGUAAUAUUUCUGCGAACUUUUCUGUCGUGUAUGGUGGUGUUUGCCA